UAAUACGGAGGGUGCGAGCGUUGUUCGGAUUUAUUGGGCGUAAAGGGCGCGUAGGCGGAUUGGUCAGUCACUUGGUGAAAUCUUCACCGCUUAACGGGAAAAUUGCCGGAGAUACUGCCAGUCUUGAGAGCGGUAGAGGUGAGUGGAAUUCCGGGUGUAACGGUGGAAUGUUUAGAUAUCCGGAAGAACACCAGUGGCGAAGGCGACUCACUGGACCGUAUCUGACGCUGAGGCGCGAAAGCCAGGGGAGCGAACGGGAUUAGAUACCCCGGUAGUCCUGGCCGUAAACGGUGAACACUAGGUGUAGGAGGUAUCGACCCCUUCUGUGCCGCCGCAAACGCAUUAAGUGUUCCGCCUGGGGAGUACGACCGCAAGGUUG
This 379-nucleotide ribosomal RNA is filed under the name uncultured Candidatus Sumerlaeota bacterium. RNAcentral's name for it is "bacterial SSU rRNA". It matches the Rfam family "Bacterial small subunit ribosomal RNA", at positions 521 to 896 of the family's 1533-position model. The record is from RNAcentral. Lineage: Bacteria; Candidatus Sumerlaeota.